CUACUUCCUGUAGGUGUAGAGCAUAUUUGAGCGUUAUCUUCAACAGGUGUGGUAUCCAUGUCGCUACGGACCGAAGCCGUUGAAAAGUUUCUUUUUUGUGUAUUGGAGGAUGUACCUGUUGAGCAUCCUCCCAUAUCUCCCUUAUGUAUGGGGGUGGCACAUGAAAUAAUGUUUAAUGCGGAGAUUGCAUUUAUUGACAUAUCGUUUUCAAAUAUUUCAUCAAACUUGUCAUAAUUACUGCUUUCCUUUUGCCUGAAAGAGGAGCUCUAAGCUGUACCGCGCACGAAGCCUCGUGUUCCUUUUAAAAAUUGCUUCGAGCUCGGACGCGCCCGAAAUUGGAUUUCCCUUGUCCCCUCAUGCACCACCUAUUUUCUAGGGGCGCGAAACACUUUUGAGGUUAUAUACCUACUUGUCCAAAAUGAACAACUUCCAAAAAGAAUUUGUUUUAAAGACGUUAUUUGAUAAUGCAGCUCAAAAGCUGAUGGAUUUUGAUACAAGCAGUAGUAGCAGUUCCGAUUUUUCAUUUGUUGAACAGGAUAACUGCAAGAAGCGAAAGAUUUGCCUGCGUGUUAAGAACUAUGUGGAGAAUAUAGUACGUGAAUAUACAGAAGUUGAGUUUAAAGCAGAUUUUCGCAUGUCGAGGAGUACUGCGUAUAAAAUUAUUAAUAUGUUCGAAGAAACAAGCGUUAUACCACAACAUACAGCUGGCAGGGAAAAAAUUACUGCGGAGAAAGCUUUUCUCCUUAGUGUCUGGUA
Molecule: long non-coding RNA, 756 nt
Organism: Photinus pyralis (common eastern firefly)
Lineage: Eukaryota; Metazoa; Arthropoda; Insecta; Coleoptera; Lampyridae
Exons: 3
Source: RefSeq, a predicted model, not a curated record